AUGCCCCAGGGCUACCAAACCCCCCACCCGGCGCCCGGCCAGCAUUCGGACAACGUGCCCCUAAAAGGCCGGCGCUUCCCACUUCCCGGGGUCGCCUGGCGCCCGCCACUCGCCUCUCACCCGCAGCCCCACCGCGGCUCCCGCCUGGACUCCCGCUUCAGCUUUCGCUCGGGGCGUGGCGGGGGUGGGGGCGAGGAACUCGGCAACCUCUACUUCCGGGUCCGGCCGCGGCUGGUGUCCCCCCAUCUGCCCUCCGACGCGUGCUCGUCCGCGUCCGCGGGUUCCGUGGCUGGUGCGUACCGGGGGCACAGCCUCCAGACGGCCCUUGCUCGCGCGGUUGUCUGGGAUCCCCAACCCUCCACCCAGAUUCCUCCUCGCAGCGGCCCUGGGGUUGGGGAGGCGGGGGUCCCAAACCUCCAUCCUGACCCCUCUCCGCGGCCUCCCCAAAUUCUCCGCCUUAUUCUUCUCUGCCACCGCGGAAGCUUCAGGGCUCAGUCUGUGCUAAGUCAGCUGCCUCAAUGUCAGGGUCUCUGAGAGACAUGGUAACCAUAUCCUGCACAGGAAACAGCAGCAACAUUGUGGGAUGUACCUUAAACUGUACCAGCAACUUCCAGGUCUCCAAAGUCCUCACCUACAAGAACAAC
RNAcentral lists this long non-coding RNA (644 nucleotides) under Mustela putorius furo (domestic ferret). RNAcentral's name for it is "lncRNA (ENSMPUG00000024185.1)". The record is from RNAcentral. Lineage: Eukaryota; Metazoa; Chordata; Mammalia; Carnivora; Mustelidae.